UGGGGAAUUUUGGACAAUGGGCGAAAGCCUGAUCCAGCCAUGCCGCGUGAGUGAAGAAGGCCUUCGGGUUGUAAAGCUCUUUUAGUCGGAAAGAAAGAGUUGCAAUGAAUAAUUGUGAUUUAUGACGGUACCGACAGAAAAAGCACCGGCUAACUACGUGCCAGCAGCCGCGGUAAUACGUAGGGUGCGAGCGUUAAUCGGAAUUACUGGGCGUAAAGGGUGCGCAGGCGGUCUUGCAAGGCAGGUGUGAAAGCCCCGGGCUUAACCUGGGAAUUGCGUUUGAAACUACAAGGCUAGAGUGCAGCAGAGGGGAGUGGAAUUCCAUGUGUAGCAGUGAAAUGCGUAGAGAUGUGGAAGAACACCGAUGGCGAAGGCAGCUCCCUGGGUUGACACUGACGCUCAUGCACGAAAGCGUGGGGAGCAAACA
RNAcentral lists this ribosomal RNA (427 nucleotides) under uncultured beta proteobacterium. RNAcentral's name for it is "bacterial SSU rRNA". It matches the Rfam family "Bacterial small subunit ribosomal RNA", at positions 355 to 774 of the family's 1533-position model. The record is from RNAcentral. Lineage: Bacteria; Pseudomonadati; Pseudomonadota; Betaproteobacteria.